AAAGCCAGACCACCCUCACCUUCCCAUCCCUGAAGCGGUGUCGCCACAGGAAGAAGUAGACACCUCCCAGCUAAUUGCCCCAAGCGGGUCAAACUUCGGAAUCGGCGUCCUGCUCUGCGUUGUGGAGCGCAUGGCAAAGAGGAAGGGUUGGUGCUCGGAACAGAAUCUCCGUGAUUUGCCAGAGGAAACAGCACAGACUCCAGACAGCAGAAGCGCCGGGAUUUCCAUGCAGCUGCCACGACAGGUGACCCGGCCCGCUCUGCAGUCACCCGGCUCGCCCGGGGGCUUCGCGGAAGGGAAAGCCGCCGGGAGCACAGAAGCGCUGUCACCACCGACCCGCGCAGCUCCCCGGGAAAACGGUCACCCGAGUGGCCGCGAUGGUAACAUCCCAGAGGAUCUCUUCUUCAGUUGUCCAUGGAGAAAGGACCGGAUAGCGUCAUUUUAACUCAGGGAAGAACAAUUCACAGCCUUCCCCCUCCUGUUAAAUUUGAUGGAUGUCCUGCUAACAACGAAACUUGAUAAUCUCUUCUUUUUCCAGCUUGUGCAAAGAAAUAGCAUAGCUGAUUGUGUGACUCUUCACACGUGUAGUUUAAAAAAAAAAGCAUUCUUUUUUCCUUGAUUUGAAGCAUUAGAGGCCCCAUAUAGUUAGGAAUAGCAGCGACUCUUCCGCAAGGGCUCAGCGUUGUUUUCUGUUUUGCCUGUCUGCAAAAGUUUUCGAAUCCGUUUCAGACUUAAGAAUUACUGAUUCUGUGAAUUUUGUCAAAAAAAAAGUUGGACCGAGUUUGUUAAAUUCUGAAAUUCCAUGAAUACUCGCCUCAGCCUCCCGAGUAGCUAGGGACUACAGGUGCCCGCCACCAUGCCCAGCUCAUUUGUGAUUUUUUUUUUUUCAGUGUAGGAGUUUCGCUCUGUUGCCCUGGCUCAUCUCGAACUCCUGGCUCCAAGUGAUCCUCCUGCCUCUGCCUUCCAAAGUGUUGAGAUUACAGGCAUGAGCCACCACACUUGACCUAAUUUUACAAAUUUUGACAAAUGCUACCUAGACUUUUUUUAUUUUUAAAAAGGUAAGCCAAGCGUGGCGUGUAGUCCCCAGCUACUCCGGAGGCUGAGGCGGGUGGAUCCCUGGAGACCAGGAGCUGGGGGCCGCAGUGAGCUAUAAUCAUGCCUGUGGACUCCAGCCUGAGCAUAGCGAAACCCGGCUCUAACACAAGAAAAUUAAAUAUUAAUUUAAAAGUAACUGAACCAAGAAUAGUUGCCUCAUGUUUGAAUGCGUAUAAAUAUAAUGCAUUUAACUGUGGUCCCAGCUACUCCGGAGGCUGAGGCACGAGAAUCCUUUGAACCCCGAGAGGCAGAGGUUGCAGGGAGCCGAGAUUGCGCCACUGCACUCCAGCCUGGGUGACAGAGUGAGACCCUGUCUCAAAAAGAGUAUAUAUAUAAUAUAUAUGUAUAACGCAUUUAAUAGAAGCAUUAAGAUCAGCAUUAUUUGAUUAUAUUUUAUAAGCACUCCAAAACUUAAUUUUGAAAACCUUAAGAAAUAAAACUACAUUUACAUCUUAGAGUACCUUAAAAGAUAAUCUUCGCUCAAUGUAAUUAGUAUUGCACUUCAGUUUAGUGCUCAAUGUUAUGUUAAAUACUGUGGAGAGAUCAAAGGAAGAAUAUGAUAUGGCCCUUGCCUUCAAAAUUUACAAUUUCUGUACAGAAUUACUUUAAAAUGUGUGCAUAACUUUUUUGUUUGUUUUUUUGAGACGGAGUCUCACUCUGUUGCCCAGGCUGGGGUGCAGUGGUGUGAUCUCCGCUAACUGCAACCUCCGCCUCCCAGGUUCAAGCAAUUCUCCUGCCUCAGCCUCCCGAGUAGCUGGGAUUGCUGGGAUUACA
This 1869-nucleotide long non-coding RNA is filed under the name Homo sapiens (human). Its description in RNAcentral is "HSALNT0115759". The record is from RNAcentral. Lineage: Eukaryota; Metazoa; Chordata; Mammalia; Primates; Hominidae.